This 467-nucleotide ribosomal RNA is filed under the name uncultured bacterium. RNAcentral describes it as "partial 16S ribosomal RNA". It matches the Rfam family "Bacterial small subunit ribosomal RNA", at positions 28 to 506 of the family's 1533-position model. The record is from RNAcentral.
GACGAACGCUGGCGGCGUGCUUAACACAUGCAAGUCGAACGGAAAGGCCCUGCUUUUGUGGGGUGCUCGAGUGGCGAACGGGUGAGUAACACGUGAGUAACCUGCCCUUGACUUUGGGAUAACUUCAGGAAACUGGGGCUAAUACCGGAUAGGAGCUCCUGCUGCAUGGUGGGGGUUGGAAAGUUUCGGCGGUUGGGGAUGGACUCGCGGCUUAUCAGCUUGUUGGUGGGGUAGUGGCUUACCAAGGCUUUGACGGGUAGCCGGCCUGAGAGGGUGACCGGCCACAUGGGGACGGGGAUACGGCCCAGACCCCUACGGGGGGCAGCAGGGGGGAAUUUUGCACAAGGGGGGGAGGCCUGAUCCAGCAACCCCGCGGGGGGGAUGGCGGCCUUCGGGUUGUAAACCGCUUUCGCCUGUGACGAAGCGGGAGUGGCGGUAAUGGGUAAAGAAGCCCCGGCUAACUCCGU